Molecule: ribosomal RNA, 253 nt
Filed under: uncultured bacterium
Lineage: Bacteria
Description: partial 16S ribosomal RNA
Rfam family: Bacterial small subunit ribosomal RNA
Source: RNAcentral
UACAGAGGGUGCGAGCGUUAAUCGGAAUUACUGGGCGUAAAGCGUGCGUAGACGGUUAUUUAAGUCGGGUGUGAAAGCCCCGGGCUCAACCUGGGAAUUGCAUUCGAGACUGAAUAGCUAGGGUACGGUAGAGGGAUGCGGAAUUUCCGGUGUAGCGGUGAAAUGCGUAGAUAUCUGGAGGAACACCGGUGGCGAAGGCGGCAUCCUGGACCAACACUGACGCUCAUGCACGAAAGCGUGGGGAGCAAACAGG